CUUAUCCGCAUAAUAGACCUGUUUAACAGAAGCGCGGGAAAUGGAAAUAGUAAACAAACGGACUCUCGACGAGAUCGACUCUGUGUUAGAGUUUGCGAAGCUUGGUCGUGAUGAGAUUAAGUCAGUCACCCAGAGUAUCUACUUCUCUGAGCAGCUUGAUAGCGAGGGAAUCAAGCUUCUUGAACUGGAUACUGCGGUCCUUACUGCCCUGGAAAAUGGAGAGAGAGUCAUUAUCAGAGGAGACAAAGAAGACAGUGCGGUUCUGUGUACAGAGAGUGAAACCUUCGAAGUAAAGCUAGGAGAGGUGUCCAACGCAUUGCUGAUAGUGCCUGAUAUGACCCUGGGCAGUGAGCUGACAGAUACAUUACUCCCCUCAAUACAGUACCAGCAGGUCAACUCAGUAAUGCACACAUUUUAUGAACUGCGGAAGAUGAAGCCACGCCUUCAGAAGUUAAGAUCUCUGCUUGAAGAAAAUCCGUAUGCUGGCCAGGCGGCUGAGGGCGAUGUAGACCAUCAGGGAACAAAGUACACAUUCAAUGAGCUAUUAAAUCUUGUACAAGGAAGUGAAAGAGAAAUAAAGAUAGCAUUGGAGAAGAUGCAAGCCAUUGUAAUUGAUGGUUACUGGCGUGUGCUUGAUUUUGACUUCCUGGUGCAAGUGAUGAGCCACCUUCUACAGCUCUGUGAUGAAAACAGUUGGCUAGACCAGGGCAUACCCAUCCAGGAAUGCCUCUCGGUGCUACAGGACAUCUUUCCAAGAACUGUGAUAGAACAUGUAUUGAAGAACUUUGCAGACAAAAUAACACCAGCAACAGGCAAAGACGAUGAUGAAAAACAUAUGCAAAUAGAUAUUGAUUACUAUAGGCUCAAUGAAGACAAAGUUUGCAGGUUCUUUGCUGAACAGAUCUUAAAACAUGCUAGAAAGUUUAAUCUGAGUCAGUUCCUCUCUACAUGGGAAAAGAGUGUUCCAGAUGGAAUGAAAACCAGUGUAUCUCAGCUUGAGGUGACAAAUGAUCCUAGUCCUGCAAAUAUGGGUCUGAUGCUAAAUGCGGCCAGCAUAACUUUGGACCAGUCUGGAAUGGCCCAGCCUGCUAUGAAGUCACGCAAGGUUUCCAGAUCUAGUAAGCGGACAGUCUAGCUCCUCAACCAGACUAAGGGAAUGCACAGGCUAGUCUGGAUCUGUGCUGGCCACAUAUGGGAUCAGACCCAUUUUCGCAUGAUGUGGCUGAAAUAAUGGUUUUAUAGACGUGGGUAUUGCCCUUAUUGACCGUGAUAGCAACCCUGAGGUCAUCUCAUAUAUGACUGUGGACACACUGCCGGAAGAGAUCUCAGAAAGAUUCAACCACUUAUUCAGAAUUCGUGAAAAAUGGAGUUUGCCUGAAAUUACCCCAUACAUUAA
Dreissena polymorpha is the source of this 1396-nucleotide RNA transcript. It is a transcript of the gene named sister chromatid cohesion protein DCC1-like, with no coding region annotated. The transcript is spliced from 12 exons. Lineage: Eukaryota; Metazoa; Mollusca; Bivalvia; Myida; Dreissenidae. The record is from RefSeq and is a predicted model, not a curated record.